Molecule: unclassified non-coding RNA, 344 nt
Filed under: soil metagenome
Description: partial contains 5.8S ribosomal RNA, internal transcribed spacer 2, and large subunit ribosomal RNA
Rfam family: 5.8S ribosomal RNA (bases 1-120)
Source: RNAcentral
GAUGAAGAACGUAGCGAAAUGCGACAAGUAAUGUGAAUUGCAGAAUUCCGUGAAUCAUCGAAUCUUUGAACGCACAUUGCGCCCGCCAGUAUUCUGGCGGGCAUGCCUGUUCGAGCGUCAUUUCAACCCUCAAGCCCCCGGGCUUGGUGUUGGGGAUCGGCGUGCCCUCGCGGCGCGCCGUCCCCUAAAUCUAGUGGCGGUCUCGCUGUAGCUUCCUCUGCGUAGUAGCAACACUCGCACUGGAUCGCAGCGCGGCCACGCCGUUAAACCCCCCACUUCUGAAAGUUUGACCUCGGAUCAGGUAGGAAUACCCGCUGAACUUAAGCAUAUCAAUAAGCGGAGGA